UGCAUCGGCCGGGAAUCGAACCCUGGCCGCCAGCGUGGCAGGCGAGCAUUCUACCACUGAACCACCGAUGG
Molecule: transfer RNA, 71 nt
Filed under: Cordylochernes scorpioides
Lineage: Eukaryota; Metazoa; Arthropoda; Arachnida; Pseudoscorpiones; Chernetidae
Description: tRNA-Gly
Source: RNAcentral